AAAGAAGCGUUCAUCUCUUUAAUAGUAGGUAUAAACAUGUGAAGCUUAGAACAAAUGCGUAGCUUGACUAUAAAGCGUUAUUUUAGAAUCUUGCUUGCAACUGUUUGAAUAGAAGAGAAGAAUUGCUUCGUUCUUCUCCAUCAGAAACAUGCUUGAUAUGCCUCAGAGAACAAGCCUCUAGAUUAUUUUAUAUGAAGAUAUACUGUGUGCAUAAUAAAAGACCAAAUUACGUGUAGUAGAUCGGACAGUUCAUGCCAAAUAUUUUCUUCUUUCUCGAGAUGGAGUGGUUUUGGGGGACUGGCUUUAAGCUUUCCAAUACUCCUUUUAUCUCCUCUUUGUCCUAUACAAAGAUGGAUCAAGAAAUCAAAAUCAAUUGAAAUUGGAGAAAGCAAUGAUAUUGGUAUGUAAAAUAAUGACAGCGAUGUUUCACGUGUCUUAGAUUGAAAAACAACAUAAAGCCUUGAGUAGCCCAUAUGUUCGGAUAUUAUGAAGAGGCACCCUCAUGCUUGCAUUACCUCAUAGUGUUGUUUUCAUACUUAUUCAGAAAGAUGGCUGCAAUGACUGUUCAAAAAGAUCCAAACUUCUCCUGAAACAUAAUAGAAACGUUGCUGGCGCCCUGAUAUUUACUGCAAAAAUAUAUUCUGAAACAUCAUUUUAAAUAGGGCCACCUCCAUCAUUUCCUAACGAAUAUAUGUGCAGCUCAUCCGCUUAAAAUGUAUAGGAAUACUAGAGAACAAAGCAAGUAUCUAUAGCUGAAGUUGUGUAUGAAUCUAAGA
RNAcentral lists this long non-coding RNA (776 nucleotides) under Hordeum vulgare. Its description in RNAcentral is "long non-coding RNA (HVUL_LNC002766)". The record is from RNAcentral. Lineage: Eukaryota; Viridiplantae; Streptophyta; Magnoliopsida; Poales; Poaceae.